RNAcentral lists this long non-coding RNA (1734 nucleotides) under Nicotiana tabacum (common tobacco). RNAcentral's name for it is "long non-coding RNA (NTAB_LNC012928)". The record is from RNAcentral. Lineage: Eukaryota; Viridiplantae; Streptophyta; Magnoliopsida; Solanales; Solanaceae.
UUCUAAAGUGAUUUUAUUGCCAAAAAACACUAAUUGAUUGCUAGUUUCGUUUUCUUGUUGUUGUGGCAGCAUUGGAGGGAUAUUUCAUGGAAAAUUAAGGUCAAAUUGGAGUUGUUCUUUCUGUAUAAAGGUAAGUAACCUCUUACUCUAUAUGUAUUUAAGAUUAUCUAAGUUGCGGCUAAGUCAAUGAAGCUAUAACUUGUGGAAUAUAUAUCGAAAGGCUUGGUAGUAAUGUUAUCGGUUGGUGGACUAUUUUGGGAGGUUCAAUAUGAUUAACAUUAAUGUUGUUUAGGCUUUUUGGUGAUUUUUUUCACUUGUGUAAGUCAUAUAAAUAGGGGAGGUGCUGUCCGUUUCAUCAUAAAAUAGGUUGUGGUCGGUACAUAAUAGUUCUGACGCUUAAACAUUAACGAUGGUGUCAUUUCUCCUAUUGUAGACUAAGGAGUCUUGACAUUUGCAUAGCUUGAGGUUGGGCAGUAUAUACAAGGUAUGUGAGGCUAUCCUUUUCCUUCUUUUGCACGACUCCGAUUAUACAUAAUGUAAUGAACGAGCUUCCAAAGAUACUGUACUCUUAGAAGCUAGCAGUACUUACAUUAUUUUCCCUCUUAUGGAACGAUUAAUGUUGAUGUUGCUUCUCUUAUUCUUAUAUUAUCAAUGUUGUUGAUACUUCCUAAUUCUUAUAAGGUUCAUAGUGAAGAGUUAGUCCUAAUAACGUGUACAAAGGAUACCGACCUUACGUCACUCCGAAAGGUUUAGAACAUGAUUCCAUGAGUCGAGCAUGCAGUAUUAUAUAUGUAUCUAUUUUACUCUACCGAGCCGCGCUAUAGUCGGCCGGGUACGUCACCUAUUAUGCAACCACUGAUCAGUUGGGUUUUACCGAGCUCCACAUGGCCGGGUACGAUUCUACUGAACCUUAUGAUGGUCGGGUACGUUUUUACCGAGCCUAUUACGGCCGGGUAUGAUAUGAUGAUAAUGAUGCCCACAGAGGCGUAUGUUUUAAAAGUUUAUGCAUAUAUACAUAUGUAUCAUGCAUUGCAUGUCAGUAGCCCUCAGAGGUACCCAGACGUUACAGGUUAUAUAUUCUUUAUUCCUGCUUACAUUACUGUUCGUACUUAUGGUUCCCUGCCUUACAUACUCAGUACUUUAUUCGUACUGACGUCCUUUUAUUUGUGGACGCUGCAUGUCGUGCUGCAGGUCCUGAUAGACAGCCAGGCGCAACUCCCCAACCACAGUAGGUGGUCCAAUUCAGCGGUGAUUGGCGAGAUCCCUUCUUCAGACUUGUCGUGGUCUUGGUAUGCAUUUUUGUUAUAGACGUUAUGGGUAUGUCGGGGCCCUGUUCUAGGAAUGUUGCAGCACUUAUGUUCUUUUAGAGGCUCAUAGACAAGUGCCGACUCAUGUAUAGUUUGGUAUGCUUUGUCGGUUGAUUUUUGUUGUACUCUUUCAUGGUAGCAUGGUAGCAUGGUAGCUCGUACCUUAUAUAUAGUGUCUUGAUUGUCUGGUCAUCCAAACAUGUAUGUUCAUGUCAUCAUCUUUUGUUGUUAGUUGUGCAUGAUCCAUGUCUACCAAUUAUAUUGAUCUCGUUGGCCAUAAAAGAUAAUAAAGAAGGUUAGAUAAAAUGUACGUUGGUGCUCGACAAGUAUGUCGGGUGCUAGUCAUGGCCCUCCAGUUUGGGUCGUGACAUACAACUACAAUAGUGUCAAAUCCAAAUUACUUACAAGUCAAAUUGAUAAUUGAUGC